UGGAAGUAAAAAGUCGUAACAAGGUCUCCGUUGGUGAACCAGCGGAGGGAUCAUUACUGAGUUAUCAAAACUCCAAACCCUUUGUGAACCUUACCAUCGUUGCCUCGGCGUGAGCUACGGCUACCCUGUAACUACCCUGGAGCUACCCUAGAGUUACCCUAUAGCUACCCUGCACUUACCCUGCAGCUACCCUAUAGCUACCCUGGAGCUACCCUGGAGCUACCCUGUAGUCGGCUUCGGCCCGCCGAAGGACCGUUAAACUCUUGUUUUUACCACUGUUUCUCUGAAUUUUAAACUAAAAUUAGUUAAAACUUUCAACAACGGAUCUCUUGGUUCUGGCAUCGAUGAAGAACGCAGCGAAAUGCGAUAAGUAAUGUGAAUUGCAGAAUUCAGUGAAUCAUCGAAUCUUUGAACGCACAUUGCGCCCAUUAGUAUUCUAGUGGGCAUGCCUAUUCGAGCGUCAUUUCGACCCCUAAGCCCCUGUUGCUUAGCGUUGGGAAUCUACGGCGUAGUUCCUCAAAGUUAGUGGCGGAGUUAGGGUACACUCUCAGCGUAGUAAUUUCUCUCGCUCGUGUGGUGGCCCUGGCUGCUAGCCGUUAAAACCCCUAUAUUUUCUAGUGGUUGACCUCGGAUUAGGUAGGAAUACCCGCUGAACUUAAGCAUAUCAAUAAGCGGAGGA
This 679-nucleotide ribosomal RNA is filed under the name fungal sp. ARIZ L289. RNAcentral describes it as "eukaryotic LSU rRNA". The stretch from base 310 to 463 matches the Rfam family "5.8S ribosomal RNA". The record is from RNAcentral. Lineage: Eukaryota; Fungi.